GACGUAGGGCGCGAGCGUUGUCCGGAUUUAUUGGGCGUAAAGAGCUCGUAGGCGGUUUGUCGCGUCGUUCGUGAAAACUCACAGCUUAACUGUGAGCUUGCGGUCGAUACGGGCAGGCUAGAGUUCGGUAGGGGAGACUGGAAUUCCUGGUGUAGCGGUGAAAUGCGCAGAUAUCAGGAGGAACACCGGUGGCGAAGGCGGGUCUCUGGGCAACAACUGACGCUGAGGAGCGAAGGCGUGGGGAGCGAACAGG
RNAcentral lists this ribosomal RNA (253 nucleotides) under uncultured bacterium. Its description in RNAcentral is "partial 16S ribosomal RNA". It matches the Rfam family "Bacterial small subunit ribosomal RNA", at positions 524 to 776 of the family's 1533-position model. The record is from RNAcentral.